GCCCUGGUGGUGCAGUGGUUAAGCACUUGGCUGUUAAGCAAAAGGUUGGUAGUUCGAACCCAUCCAGUGGCU
RNAcentral lists this transfer RNA (72 nucleotides) under Loxodonta africana (African savanna elephant). It matches the Rfam family "tRNA". From Rfam's summary of the family: Transfer RNA (tRNA) molecules are approximately 80 nucleotides in length. Their secondary structure includes four short double-helical elements and three loops (D, anti-codon, and T loops). Lineage: Eukaryota; Metazoa; Chordata; Mammalia; Proboscidea; Elephantidae. The record is from Rfam by way of RNAcentral.